Long non-coding RNA from Pseudopipra pipra, 14150 nucleotides. RefSeq lists it as uncharacterized. The record is from RefSeq and is a predicted model, not a curated record. NCBI's taxonomy places the organism in Eukaryota, Metazoa, Chordata, Aves, Passeriformes, Pipridae. The transcript has 2 exons.
ACGGGCGAGGGGCUGGCCCGUCCUCCCCACCUCGCCAGGUGCUGUGGGCGGUGGCUGGGGCGGCGGAGAGCACGGGAGGCUUCCCGGGACGGGGCGUGAGGCGCUCCCCACCCGGCUGUGCGCUGGGGGCAGCGUGGCCACGCACCUGGGGCUGCCGCCCACAGCGUGGAGGUGGCGGCGGAGGAAGCGGGCGUGAUGGAGGGAGGGAGGAAGGGAGGGAGGGAGAGAGGGUGGUCGGUCGGUCGGAGGGCUGCCCCCGCUCGCUAUCUGUGGUAAGUCACGCCCGGAGCGGCUGCAAGGCCCUGCGGCCGGAGGAGCCGAGGAGCCCGGAGUCCACAGCGGCCCGCUCAGGGAGACACAUCUCCUUCAGCUGAGAGGGGUUGUGCGGGGCGAGGGACCCUCCCCGGCCCUCCCCUGGCUGCCCGCCCACAGCUCCCGGCGGCUUGGUGGGUCGCGGGGAGGCCGCGGCGUUUCCCACUGUGGGCGGUGGUCAGACGCCGCGAGAGUGGGCACAGGCAGGAAAGGGAGACAGGUGGGUGCCUUAUCACAUCCAUCGCUGCCUCGGGUGCGGGAGUGCCCACUUGGGCCCUUGCAGCCUGGCCGUAUUUUGCUGGUAAGGCUGAGUGCAGCAUGUCCAGGGGCAUGGCUGCUGGUGGGCUUGGCAGAUUAACUGUCGGACUCGAUGAUCUUAGAGGUCUGUUCCAGCCUAAGCAAUUCUGUGAUUUAAAUAAACCAUGCCAGAAACUGCUCCAAAUUGGUGAGUGCCUCUCACCAAUUGCCUUAGGAGAUGAUGUGCUUGCUCUGGAGGUGUUUUAUGUGAAAUACUUCUCUACAAGACUGUGGGAAUGAAGGAGGAACUAAACCCUAAGGUACAUGCGAAUUAUCAUAAAAGAAAACGGCAAAAAGAAAUUGAAAAAAAUGCUCUUUUUGAAUCAGAUGAGGCACCUCAUCUGUGGAUGGUGAAAAAGUCUAGAGGAAUGUUUAAGUUUUAGUUAAUCAUCUUGUCAACUGCAACUUGAAAACGAAGCAAUCUGAAAGCUUCCUUCUUGUGUGUAGUUUUAGCUAUUCAAGUUGACUUGAGGAAAAGGCCUGAAGUUGUGUCAGGGGAGGUUUAGUUUGGAUAUUAGGAAAAGGUUCUUCACCUGGAAGGUGUUUAAGCACUGGAACAGGCUCCCCGGGGAAGCCUGCCAAAGUUCAAGGAGUGUUUGGACAGUGUUCUCAGGCACAUGAUGUGAUUCUUGGGACUGUCGUGUGCACACCAGGAGCUGGACUUGAUGAUCCUUGUGGGUACCUUCCAAUUCAGGAUAUUCUGUGAUUUUAAGUUUUUGUCAUCCUUACUGAAUUCUGUGUACACGUAAAAAGUUCUUUCUCCUGCCCCUGCCCCACCAAGGAUUGUGUAGGUUUGGGGAAGUUGGUAGAGUGACAGGCUUUUCUGUCUUGCUUUCUGGAUGUCUUAAUUUGGUUUCCAAUGGUAAUGAUAUUCUCUGAUUAUUAGGAUUUCCAAAUAAGUGCUCGCACUGAAUGCAUCUCUAACAUUUUAUUUUUUAGUAGUAGUAGCAGAAAUAUUGAAACUGCUAAAUAUGUACAGUUCAUUAAGAAAUAAGGUUUCCUCCCCCAUGAAUUCUGGAGUUUAGGAAAACUGAUACAGAUGGGUUUCUGGUCUGUGUUUGUGCUUUCCAGGGAGUAUCAUAACAUAAAUAGAAGGGUAUAAACAUCUGAUACGUAAGAAUAUCCCCAACUCCCAUAGUAUUCCUCUGUCUUGCCAUAGUAUUCCUCUGUAUCAUGUCAGUGCUGUCGCUACAGAAAGAAGGAUAAUCAGUACAUUCAAAAUAGAGACUUGUUGAAUCUAAACAAAAUUUCAUCUCAAAAUUGUAUUUCCCUUUUAGACAGUGCUUUUUCAAAAGAUCUGAUCAAGGUUGCUUUGCCAGCCUUUCCAGCAUAGUUUUGUAAGCAACGCAGUUCUUGUUGUCUAAACUUAGUUUGCUGCCUAAGGAAUGUAAAAUAUCUAUUAAAACGCUAGAGGAAUUUACAAUACAGGUAGCACACCAGGGAAGCAAGAUGAAAGUUCAGGGAAGCAGGAUAAAAAGAUUACCUUUUUAUCAGGGCUGGUCUUUGAUAGUGUUUUGUGUAAAGUCUGUAAAAUACUAAACAUAUGGUGGAAUAUAAGUCAAAGCAAUAAACACUCUGAAGAGUAUCAGAUAAAUAUGUUACUUCCUGAGCAGCAGCAGUAGUUAAUUUUCAAACAAAUAUAAUCCAUGUAAAAAAACGUGGGGGUGUGUGCAGAUGUAUGACAGUGCCCUCUUAUGGAUGAAGUGUUUGACUCAGAGAGGCUGGAAUAAUCUGGCGCCAGGACUGAAAGGAACAGAAUUGCUGUUACAUUGAAGCGUUUAUUCAUUCUCGCUUCCAGCCACAAGCAGGGAAUGGUACACUUUGCACAUUUUUACGAGAGGAGACCUCCCUUCUUGAAGGCGUUCGGUUCUUAUAUACAGUUCAUUAGUUCCUUGUACAACUUUUACUAAAGUGCAUAAUGCGAAAGGAGAGAUUGUACGGGGCAGAAAUCCAUUAAAAACACAGACUUGAAAGAUGAGGCACUCCAGUUAUUCAAACAUCUGGAUUUCUAUGAUUAUAAUGUCUAUUAAUAUUUGUAUUUUACGCAUUUUUUAUGUAAUAAAUUGUACUUCUGAAGUUGGUUUUCAGGCAAAAACUAUAUUUUUUUUCUCCAAGGUAUGUUGUUUCUCUUCAUCUGGAAGCAUCUCUUAAUCUGGAGUAAAGGAAGAUGCAAAGGACAAUAGGCAGAACAGCAAAAGACAAAAUGUCAGUAGCAGAAAGAAUGGAUAACAUUGGUUUCUUCCUUUUUUCUGUGUUUUGUAUCAGCAUCCUUGGUGCAGUAAACCCACUGUGUUCUCUGUGCUCCUUCUCUUUUGCCUUCUCUUCCUUUUCUUCUGUGGGCCAACCAACCUACAAGCCUCCGCCAUGUCUUCAGCCCGCUGUGUCGAAACAGUCACACUUUCUAUUCCUACCUAAACCCUACAGCAACAAUUCCUGUUUCUAGCAUGUUUCCAAGUACCCUUAGCUUUUUCUCUGUCUUUAAAAUGUGAGGCAGUGUGUACUGUGCCUGGCUUUGAGCAACACCAGCUAAUUGAUAAGUUGUCAGGUUCACAAGAAGAGGUAAUUCGACAUUUGCUGCGCCUUUUUCUGAAGGGGGGACGUUCAAUAUUAGAUCAUUUCUGGAUAUGACCACUGUUUUCCAUACAACUUCUAUAAUCUUAAUAUCUUUACAAAUAUUCUGUCAAGUUUUGGCAAUGAAUUAUUGGAAAGAGGGGCUAAGAGGUGCACUUUAUAAUCAUCUACAUCUACUUCCUUGGAAAUUUAACUGAGAAGUAGUUUGAGACAUUUCAGAAUAGGGUUCCACUUUUCAGUAUGCAAAUCUUUAUAAACAUAAAGACAUUUGUAAACUAAUGCACUAAAAACCAACACUAGGUCCGAUCUCCGUUCUAAUCCUAAGAAAUGUCCCUGAAGAUUGCGGCACUAAUGGCAGAGAUAUCCUGCAGGGAUAAUGUGCCUGAAAAAGUCAUGUUAGCAGUAUGUAUAUUUAGAGUAAUAAAACAAAACUGAGUGAAUGCCAGGUAGAGAAAUGCUGGCCUGUGAGAAUAAACAUAUGAAGACAUAUUUAAUUUAUUUGUGAAUUUCAUCCUGAAAGUCUUGAGAUGACUACAAAAGACUCCAGGAACAAGGUGUUAUGUCUUAUCAGAAAGAAAACACAACAGAAGAUAGUGUCUUGUGGCAGUCAUAGCCUGAAUUGUUUUUAUUUGUAGAUUCAUAAGCAUGUUCUUUUUCUGAGCUACAUUCUUUGUACUAAACUAUUUUAUAGCUUUUUUUUUUGUUAGAAAGGAUCACGUUUCCCCAUUUGUAAUGUCCACAUUAGCCUGUGUUUCCCAUGCAGUAUAGAUCUCAAGCACAGACCAAAAAGAUUAAUCUUAUUUCCUUGUAAAAUGACCCCUGGAGAUGUGGUGGUGAUCCUCUUUCAAAGGCCAUGCAAAAUUCCCACUGACAUAGUUUAGUAAGACUUUACCACUGAUGGCCAUGCUGAUCUUGCUGGCUUUACACUGGCAAGUACAGCACAUCGUGAAGAAUGGCCAACUUUCUUCAGUCUCUGGUGGAAACGAGCAGAUGUUCUUCAGUGACUUUGUUCCUUUUUCAUUAAAGAAUUGAUGGGGUUUUUUUUGUUGUUAUAUUGGUUUUGGUUUUUUUGAGGGGGUUGAGGGGACUGGGGUUUGGUUUUGCUUUGGUAUUUUGUUUUGGUUGUUUUUUUCUUCAGUUAGUGCCAGUUUUAAAUUACCUAGCUCAGUUACUGUUGGUGAUAUUCUAGCAGCAUGGAGCUCAGCAUGGUUGAUAUUGAUCCAGUCGGUUUGCUGGCAAAACUGAGUUUUGAGCUGUCCCUACUGCACUUUCUGGGUUGUGAACUUGUUUUGACGAGAUCAAUGACAAAUGUACUUUUAAGACUUCUGCAUCCUAACAGAAGGGUCUCUGCUGUUCUGAUAUUUGUGAGGAGGCAGGAGAAAUGGGUUGUGCCUUCAGUACAUUUUGGCUUCAAGUUUUAGAUUUUUGUUCUGUAUUCUAGACAUGCAGCUUUCUUGAGGAGAGUAUCAUUUGUGUAUUAAUGUUGUGAACUGCCUCUCUCUGAUAACAUGAAACUGGGAUUGUAACUUCAUACAUAUUGAUGCUUUUACAAUAACUUAAUUUGUGUCACAGGGAGGGAAUAUGCAAUAGAAAAAGUGUCAUUCAAGAAUAACAUGUUACAACUUCUUAGAGUUUGGGUGAGCUCUUUGUUACAAGACAUUCCUACCAGGCUAGUUACAGGAAAACACUGGGCUUAUGGGUGCUUAUGAUCCCCAUAGCCUACCUGCAGCAUUCAGUGCUGUACCCUGUAGAAAUGCAGUAAGGUGUUGGGGUAUGUAGGUGGUCAAGAACUUGAUUUAAAUGAUCAUUACUCUGAUGGGAACAUAGUGCCUGCAUCUCAUUAACCAGCAAGCUUGAAAUUGCCCUUACUAAAAACAAGGUUAAAGAAAAAGCAAAGAAGAAUGCUUGUUUAAAGAAAUCAAACUACAUGCCACAUAUUUUAGAAGAGGAACAGGAAUAUAAAAAUUCAUUCUUAAUAAGCUUAUUCUGAAAUCAAACGAUCUUUUUCCUUUCUUGCCUGCAGCUGAUAAGCCACAAACCUAAUCUAUGAGGCUGCAGUCCCAGUGCUCCUUUGCCUCUCUAGAAUUAGUGCUGUCUCCACAGGGGAGAUUCCUUGGGGGACAGAGCAUGGCAGAUUAUCUGUUCAAUCCUUUUCUAGGUAUCUCCCAAUCCCAUUUAAAUCUGAUUUCCCAAAGAUUCAGAAGUUAUUCGGGAUGUAGUUUUAGAAUUAUUGACUGCCCAAGACUUUUUGGAAUACUUACAUGCUGUUUUAAUAGUUAGCUAUUUUGUUAGUAAAUUGUAAGAUAUUAAAAAGUUAUUAAUAUUUCCCCCACUUGCAAAGGUUACAUUCAAGUUAUGGGUAAAGCUCUUUCAUAUGAACAGUAAGCCAAUAAUCAUACAAAUAUUUAAGUAAAAUUAUGGUGUCACUGACUCUGGACUGAGAUCAGGCAGGACUGUAAUUAACCACUUCUAAUGAUAGUGAGCUGGAAUGACCAAUGUCCAGUUUUAUCUUUGAGGAACAUUGUGACAAGUGUUUGGAGCUUUGAACACCCAAACAGAUGAGAUGAAUUGCAGGGCCCAAACAAUUUUUUUUUCUUUUUAAAUGAACAAAAACAUCAUAAAGGGUAUUCAACAUUCAUCAAAGUUUAAUCUUCAUUAUCACACCUCAUUACCAAAGUAUCUGAAAGAAGCUGAACGUCUGGAGACUGGUUACUUGGCACAUACACUAUUUGAACAAAAAACGUUACAAUUUUAGAUAGGAGGAGGUGGAAUUGCUGAGGAGAGUCAGAGACACUUUUGCACGGGGACUGUGGAGAGUGUUGUGGGUGUUGGGAGAAGUCUAUAUCCAUCAUGUCAGACCUACAAUUCCUAGAUUCUGUCUUUUGUUAUAUUUUGUAUUUCUAGAAAAGCACUACAGCUUCACUCUCUAAAAUACUGCGAGAAGACAAAGCUAGUCAGCAAAUUUCCUGAACAGGGAAGAAUUCACAGCGCUGUACUAUUUUAUCUAGAGGGGCCCUUCAGUCAACCUACCUAGAGCAAAUAUCCUUAGCCAAAGCCUUGGGGUCCUCCAAAAAGUAACAGGGUGGAACCUCAGACGUAUUCAUAUUUUCAUACCAAAUAAAUCUUUAGAGCGUAUUAAACAUCCACUUCAGUCUUUCUAAAUGAGAGAUUUUCACGUCCACUCAGAGCAUAGGCUCUGCAACAGGUUUUUUAAAGGAUAUUAUUUCUUCUUUGGGUAACUGCAUGACAACAUAAUGAAAACUCAGAAAUUUCUGCAAGUUUUAACAAAACUGUAUUCAAGGUGUCUUAUUCUAAGAGCACUAACUGGAAGCACAUUUACAGAGGAGCAACUCUUAAAACCCACUUAGCUUUUGUGGUCAUUAAAGCUAACACGUUACAAAUAUAUGGUAACAGCAAUAAUAUGUCUACAGCGUGGUUUGUGUGUGUUUUAUGGUGAAUCCUGCAGUUCCUCCUACUGUCCAGAUCAGGAAAUCUGUUGAAAAGUUCCAUACUCCCUUCACCUGCAUCAUCUCUGCAGUGAGAGUUGGUUUGGAUUUUGUCCCAGAGCAAAGUCUGAAUGUAGCUAUGCUACACUCUCAGACUUAGGAGCAGGGACUGCUCCAGGAUAAAUAUGUGACAUCUUUCCAUAUGAAAUUCAUGUGUUUUUAGAGCAAAAUCUACAAGAAGGAUUUGCUAACUUGUUUAAAUCCAAAACUAAGCUAUUUUAGAAUUUCGAGUGCUGCAAUAGCUUGUUUGCCAGAAAAAAAAAAUGGUCGUUAGUUCUUAAAAGCAUGCUCAGCUAGCUUUUUUUUUUUUUUUCCCCAGAGAGAUUUAUUUCCUUAAAAUAGCAUUUUGCUCCUAAAAGUGCCUUCUGGGCAGGCAAGUAGAAUUAUCAGCAUGUUUACUUUUCAGACAUCUCUGCCACACUUGAACAGUUCUGCUGUGGUGUCAUACAUGAGUGAUGAGGUAGAUUUUGUAAGAGUUUGUAUACUAGGAUAUAAAAAAUUAAAAUGUGUUACAGCAUUUAAAGUGCACUAACAUUUUAGUUCCAAACUAGUCAAAUCAACGUCCUUACACCAAAUUAAAGCAUUUUCUAUGACUGUAGCAUCCCUUUUUGGAAUGUAUCCUCAGCUCCAAGGAAAGUUGCAUCCCCAUUAGCACAAAUUAGACCCCUUGGCUGUCUGAAAGGUACAGAAGAUCCUCUACAGCUUUGGUUCUCUGCAGUUUCUAGUACACUUACAGAAGGAUGUCAGCAGAGGUUUGGAUGUGAUCAGUGUACCAUCCAUGUACUGUGCUUUUGUAUGUGAUACCUUAGAAGCAAAAAGCAAGGAUUUAUGAUGUAGCUUGAUUAUAAAGGAAAGUUUUUUAAUUACAUUGGGAUGAAAGUAAGGGAAUAAAGGGACAAGUUGCCCAGUGAUUUUUUGCAGAAUCACUAUCAUUCUGCUACCACAGUUCUUUACAAACAGAGGAAUGUAGAAAAGAAGACCCCAAAACUUUCCUUGUUCAAAAUAAGAUUAAGGAAGUGAGAUAAAUGUAUGAAGUGUUCAUGGCUCUACUUUGGAUUUCUUUUAUAAAGCUUGUGACUUGGCUUCUAAGUCGAUAAGGACAUUGAGACACAAAAUGAAUUCUCUGAGGCUGCUAGCGCAACAAGGCUAUAUAAUCACUCUGGGAUUGCCAAAGAUUUCUUUCUUUUUUUUUUUUUUUUUGAAAGACUUGUGUCACUUUCACUCCCACACAUCUGGCAAGAGAACUCUGCACUGGCUUAGCUGAAAAUUCUUAUCUCAUAGAUCACUACUAGCAAUAAAUUCCAGCCUUUGUGCUUACUUAUAUUGUCCCACGGCCUGGAGUCACUGAUUUUGUGGAACUAGGAAUGCGGGCUGUAAAAUAUUUACUCACUAACACCCACACACACCAACACAGCCCCCCACGCCCCCCCCCAAACACCCCAUGCCUCAAAACCAUGCCUCUAGCUUCCUUCGUUGUGAAGUCAGCUUUGAAAAUGUAAAUCACAUCAAACUGACUCUGGGGGCCAAAGAAAACAGGCAGCUGGAUUCCAUCCCUUUAGCUAAGAAUCAGCCCUUAAAUACCUCUUAAACAGACACUUUAUAUGAGCUAUAGUCAAACUCAUUUUCAAGUAAUGUUUUCCCACAUGUCCCAGAAAAAGUGAACAGCAUCUCUGUGCGUGGAUGGACUGGGGCACUGACAAUGGGUAAGUGUGCCAAAACCCUGCAAACUGCUAAUGCAGUUCUACUGCAAUUCUUCUCUAAGGUCACACCUACGCUAAAAAUCAAUGUAUUUUUAAUCCAUGCCGUAGUCCUUAAAUAUAGCUAAGGCAGCUGUGCUCUGAAAGAAUUGUUGGCAAAUGGCCUGCACUAGGUGUUUUCCUGGGUGUUAGUUCGCAUCAGUGAGCAUUUUUAUCUAGUAUUGUCUUCUGGAAGCAUUCUUAUUUAUGAGAUUUAUUGUGCUGAUCCUUUUCUAUGUGACAGAGAUGGGAAAUAUGAAGGCAGCAUUACCUCAUACAUUGAAGACUUUGCAACUUGUAGUAAAAAAAACUGGAAAGAUAAGAGAAGGUUAGACAAAUGAGACAAUGACUGGCACAGAUGCAGUUAUCUCUGCGGGAUAGAUUAAAUAAUAUGCUGGGGAGGAAGAAGAACAACAAUUCCCCAUACUAAACCCCAGAUUUCCAGUUUAGCAACCUGUCUCUAAUACCAUUAACAAGCAGGAUCAGAGUUAGUGAUGACCAGCAAGUGUUGCUGGGUAGCAAAUGCAUUCUCUAGGUGUGGGGAAAAAUGGUAUGGAGACACUUGAGAUGCAAUGUACUUUAGUAUCUCUCCAUUCUUGAUGAUCAGAUUUCAGAAGAAAAAUCGGCAACUGGCAUAUAAUAAAGCCAGAUUAUUUUCCAAGAGUCACAACAAUCCUUCUUGAGUAAUUUACCCCAGCAAAAACAUGGCAGAAUAACCAAUCAGGGUAUAAUGAACAUGAAAUGCCUUCCCAUUUAUUUUCCUAGGACAAAUUAACAAUGUUUUGACUCUAGUAGAUUUGCAUAACGUGAAACGUAGUAGUUUUAACCAAUAUACCGGCAUAAUCCAGGAACAAGCUGUAACUUAAUUUUUGGCAUUUUUAUUUUCAAUUUCCCAAGUGACUACUAGUGAGUGCAUGGGAGUGUUUUUUAAUUGAUCCUGAUACACAUUCACAUACAAGGCCAUCAAGAAUGAGACAUCUUUAUCAAGAAUUGCCACAGAAUCACAGAAUCAAUGAGGUUGGAAAAGAGAUCACAGGGUCCAACCUUUCACUGAACACCAUGUCAACUAGACCAUGGCAGUAAGUGCCACAUCCAGUCUUUCUUUGAAUACCUCCAUUCAGAGAAAGAAACAGAGCCUAGAGUAGUAAAACAGCUACAGUAGUUUAUAAAAAGCAGUUUUAAUCAGGGCUCUUGUUGGCAGAGCUCCACAAUAGACAGAGUUCAUCAUUAAUGACACCUCAGGUUUUCUGUCUUUUCUGUAUGCUCAUCAUAUCAAUCACUUGAAAAAGGCUACAUAGCUUAAUUUUGCAAAACUUCUCUAAUAAAAUGGUUCUAGUAGCAAUAAAACAAAUAGCAAUGAGAACAUUUGGCUGCUGAUGGAGAAGACAAUAGAAGAAAAAUAUGGCAUUCCUGAAGUAUUUCUUGAGAUUCAAAAUUUUAUUGAGAUAGAAACACAGAUUUUUAGCCUAAAAUUUGAAUUUGAGGAAGUUUUAAUCUAUAUUGAGGAUACAGCCAAAAUGCAUACUUCAUCCCUUCCCUCUAGAGAAGAGAUUACUGUCAGGACUGUGUGCAGGAUACAGCAAAAAUUAGGGUAUGUCAAGGACCUGAUCAUGGUUCCCUUAUCCUCAGAGCAUGUCUCCAUCAGUUUGAGCCACAGUGCUAUUUAAAACUGAACUGUACUUUUUCCUGGCUGACUACAGUCCUUAAGGGAACAUCCAUCAGCCAAGCAGAAGUGACUCAUGCAACGCCCCAACCUCACACUUGAUACAGUCAACCUCAGGGACAACUUGUUAAAGAACUGUCAGAGCCAUCCUGAAACUAAGCAAACACUACCUCACUUGAGUUUUCCCACUGUGCAACCUGCCUGUGGCUUUAGCUUGUGUUCUGCAGCUAAUGUGAAAAAACUCUCCGAGUCUUUGGCUCUGCGAGUUUCUAAGCUGCAUUGUUAAAAAGAGUGUUAAUGGAAUUGGCUAAAUCCCAUCUUGGAUUAAAAAUGUCUUGGAAAUAAAAUCUGGAAGAGUGCACCAGAUCAGAGGUGCUCAAGGCAAGCAAUUUAGGAAGAGCAGCUGAACUCCUAUAUAUGUAUGUCUCACAAAUAACUGCAAAUUAAUAUGUCUUUGUGGAAGCAGCUCAAUUAAGGCUUUAGUUGCUGAAGAAGUGUUUUUAAAACUCUUCCACAAGCCAACCAUUCUAAGUGCUACAGUUUGAAUUGAUGAACUCAUCAGCUCAGCUGGAAAACAUAUCAACUCGGACAUGCAUCUGAAGCGUGAAUUGCAUUAACACACAAAUUUAAUUUAAAGGAAGAAGCUCUUUAUGGAUUUUAAAACUAGUACUUAAAGUCUACAAAUUGCUCCAGUUAAACUGCUAUGAUAAAAAUGGCCAAAAAAAAAUGUUCUAGGGAUGGUAACCAUUGAUUUCUAUUUUAUGCUAUAUUAGAGUCUACAUGGCUCAUGAAUAAACAAAUGGUAAAAUAAGAUUUGAGAAAGCACAGUUGCAAAGGAAAAUGUUUAAAAGGACUGAAAAAUCAGUCUGUAUUUCAGUAUUUGUCUUUGGUUUAUCACAACUAAUAAAAUUAAGUAGAGCCUAGCUUUAUUUGAACCUUGAUGAGGCGCUUUUAGUAGAGAGACAAAUCAGUAAUUUAGUCAGGGCCAUGCUUCUACCCCAGCCUCUGGCUGAGGGGAAGAUUAUACAGAGCCCAACCUUACAAAACAUCUCAACUGUGCUGAAAGUGUUGUAUUGUUUUAUUUAAAUUUGCAUGUAGUCAUUUGGGGAAACUGGGCAUACCAUGCCAUAAAGCUCUUAGGGAGCAUCCAAAGGAGGGCAACAAAGAUGGUGAAGGGCCUUGAGGGGAAGCCUUAUGAGGAGUGGCUGAGGUCACUUGGUCUGUUCAGCCUGGAGAAGAGGAGACUGAGGGGAGACCUCAGUGCAGCCUUCAGUAUCCUCAUGAAGGGCCAGACACUGAUCUCUUUGUGGUGACCAGUGACAGGACCCGAGGGAAUUUUGUAAACAGACAAAAAUCUGCAUUUAUGAGUGUUUUCAGAUCAUGGUCUUGUACAAGGAAAUACCCAUAAAUCACAGGGACUUAAGAAUUUCCAUUCUGAUUCAGCCUCGCCCGUUGCUCCCUUCGGGACCCCCUACACAGCCCCGGGCGGCCCCACACCCUUCUGGCCGCCGUGGAAGCUGCACGGGGGUCGCACCCGCGGCGCCGCCCGCUGCCACCUGGCGGCUGCACCGGGGCCAGGACAACCUGCAGCCGGGGCUGCCAACAGAUCUGGGCAAAGUUGUGAAGCUGUAGAACAAAGACGUGAGUAGAGAAUGUGUGUUUGAAUAAACAUACAGCAUUCAUGCACAGAAGCACUAAAAGUUGAAAUAAGAACUAUUGAUAAAUCACAGAGAGCCUCAUAAGGAAGUACGCUGGAACUUGGUUUCCAUCAGCCACUCACUUACCAGACCACAGAAACGUCUGAGCUCUGCUUUGGUUCAUGUUGCUCAACCAGGUAAUACAUUUUUCUGAAGUACUCUCUAGCAGUAACUUCAAAUAUGCACUUGGAGUUCAGCAAACUGAAGAGCAAAAGCCUCUUCAGGCUCUGUUCUUCAAAAAAGAUUUUAGGCACCAGUGCUCAGGGUAGAGUUCUGUACCUGUUCAGGUCAAACCAGCUCACUGCUGGGGGCCUUACUCCUUUCUGCUGAAGGUUUUUUGUUUGUUUGUUUUAAAGAUUUCUCAACUGAAUUUACAGUUGGCUUCAAAGGUCAAAAAGAAAGUCUGAGGACAGAGACAUAAAUGUGACAUAGUUCACAGAAUAUGUUUUGUGCCAAAAAUACCAUUCUAUUUCUCAAUUUGCUACUAGAAUUACAACAAAAAAUUUUUCACAGUGCAUGUAAUAUGCCUACAACUGAAAUGUUCAACUAAUUUCAAUAAAUUACAUACAGACCAAUAAAUCAUCUUGAAGCCAUGUUGUUCUUUAUGUCACUAUAGCAUACAUUAAAUAUGAAUUUAAAAUUUAAGAUGAAAGUAUUUCUUUAGCAAACUUAUUUACUGUGUGAAUUUUAAAUUAGCUUUUGAGGGAUUCCAAGGAUAUUCAGUAUUGGUUGUCAAGUUUGAAAACUAUUCUUAAAAAGCUGCGCACAAUCUACAUGUAUUUUUCAAAUCAUUAAUUGGUAAAAAGCUCUAUGUCUGUAAAGCUUGAAGUCUACAGAUUAUGUUCACUUUUCUUACCAGGAGCAAGCCAGCACACUGCAUAAGAAAUAAAGAAUGUCAAUAAUAAUAUUUCAAUUAAAAGACGUAAACAUUCCCCCAACCCUUAACUUCAGUAAAACUGUAUCACCUUGAAAGAAUUCAAACCCAUAGGAUAUACUAGUUGGUAUAUUUUCUUCUUUCCACACAGUUAUUCUAUAUUCUUUUACAUUUAAAAGGCUUUUGGUCCUCCCUUCCUCCAAAAGGGGGAAAGGUAUGAUUUGAAAAUCAAACCUGAAAAAGGAAAUAAUGCAGACUCAUUCUUUAUUAAAAUCUUUAUGGUGUAUUUGCUGAAUGUCAUGGAUGAUGUAGCUCAUUAGGAUCAUUUCUCUGAAUAGAUUUUGCAGCAGUGAAAAGUGGAGCAGAAGAGAAGCCUGGUGAAAAGUUACUGGGGGAAGUUAAAAAAAAAGAAACAAAGAAGGAAAGGGAAUGAGAAGAGAAGCAGCAUAGGACAGAACCAGCACCAUUUCCAACAAUGAUAACACUUUCUCAUCAGAUGAAGCAAGAGCUGUUUAUCAAGUAAAUAAGGAUAUUAAAAAUGUAUUAAAAGGCAAUUAAUUAUUAUUAUGAAUUUUAUUCUGACCACAGAUUCCCAGGAUACCACUGAACUAGAGUAAGUUUGGUCUACCUUUAGGAAUUGUAUCUGUUUAAAAAAAUUAACGCUUUUCAGUCGGCAAAACUUUAAUAAUGACACAGUAAAACAACUAUACAAAAAUCAUGUACAUAUUUUGACAGUUUAAAUAAUAAAUAUAUAUAUAUAUUUAUAUAUAUAUACUUGAUUUUACUUUGUGGAAAAACAACUUUUGAUAGUUUUAGAUUGUGACUGGCUGUAGCUGAAAAACACCCAAACCCCUAUUUUUCUCCCAUAGGGCACUUGGAAGUUUGACAGUUCAUUGGAUUUGUAACAAGAGACUUACUGUAAUGGUAAACCAGUAAAGUUGUUUUAGAGGCAAUGACUGGAAAACAACAGAAUACCUAAUGUCUGCCUGUAUAGUACUGCUUUGACAUGAGGAACAAGGAAAUGUGGGUCAGAAAAACGCUGGUUUUGCUUUUGGCAUGGUGGAAACCAAGCUACAAUACAGCAGCCAAAAGAUUUGAAGUAUUACACAGCACUUGGGCCUGCAAUAUUUCAUUUUCCCCCAUAGCUGCUGGAGCCAUGAAUGUAACAGUAAGACUUUAGAAACAAACUGGAAAACCUCCACUCCUUUCAAUUCAACAUUAUCAUCAAUUAGAUUACAAAAUUCAAGACAGCUAAAUAACUUGGAUUUUUGGGAAGGGGACAGGAAGGGGAAGAGGAAGAAAAAUAUUGGAAAAAAGAGUUUUCUAGCCCAAAUGGAUUUUACAGUCUCAAAAAACCCCCAGGCAUUUCUCUGAAGACUUACAUACCAGUCUGCCUUGAUUCAGAAACACCAUUAAGAUAUAUCAGAUAUGACAGAAGCCUUCAGCUUCAAAAUACAAUAAAAGUGAAAUACUUGAACUAGACCACUAGAUUAA